RNAcentral lists this ribosomal RNA (456 nucleotides) under Enterobacter kobei. Its description in RNAcentral is "bacterial SSU rRNA". It matches the Rfam family "Bacterial small subunit ribosomal RNA", at positions 54 to 501 of the family's 1533-position model. Lineage: Bacteria; Pseudomonadati; Pseudomonadota; Gammaproteobacteria; Enterobacterales; Enterobacteriaceae. The record is from RNAcentral.
CAUGCAAGUCGAGCGGUAGCACAGGGAGCUUGCUCUCGGGUGACGAGCGGCGGACGGGUGAGUAAUGUCUGGGAAACUGCCUGAUGGAGGGGGAUAACUACUGGAAACGGUAGCUAAUACCGCAUAACGUCGCAAGACCAAAGAGGGGGACCUUCGGGCCUCUUGCCAUCAGAUGUGCCCAGAUGGGAUUAGCUAGUAGGUGGGGUAACGGCUCACCUAGGCGACGAUCCCUAGCUGGUCUGAGAGGAUGACCAGCCACACUGGAACUGAGACACGGUCCAGACUCCUACGGGAGGCAGCAGUGGGGAAUAUUGCACAAUGGGCGCAAGCCUGAUGCAGCCAUGCCGCGUGUAUGAAGAAGGCCUUCGGGUUGUAAAGUACUUUCAGCGGGGAGGAAGGUGUUGAGGUUAAUAACCCCAGCAAUUGACGUUACCCGCAGAAGAAGCACCGGCUAAC